UACGUAGGGUGCAAGCGUUGUCCGGAAUUAUUGGGCGUAAAGAGCUCGUAGGCGGUCUGUCGCGUCGGCUGUGAAACCCGGGCUCAACCCGGGCCUGCAGUCGAUACGGGCAGACUAGAGUGCGGUAGGGGAGACUGGAAUUCCUGGUGUAGCGGUGAAAUGCGCAGAUAUCAGGAGGAACACCGGUGGCGAAGGCGGGUCUCUGGGCCGUAACUGACGCUGAGGAGCGAAAGCGUGGGGAGCGAACAGG
This 250-nucleotide ribosomal RNA is filed under the name uncultured bacterium. RNAcentral describes it as "partial 16S ribosomal RNA". It matches the Rfam family "Bacterial small subunit ribosomal RNA", at positions 524 to 776 of the family's 1533-position model. The record is from RNAcentral.